RNAcentral lists this ribosomal RNA (1198 nucleotides) under Lactiplantibacillus plantarum. Its description in RNAcentral is "bacterial SSU rRNA". It matches the Rfam family "Bacterial small subunit ribosomal RNA", at positions 202 to 1395 of the family's 1533-position model. Lineage: Bacteria; Bacillati; Bacillota; Bacilli; Lactobacillales; Lactobacillaceae. The record is from RNAcentral.
GGCUUCGGCUANNANUUUUGGAUGGUCCCGCGGCGUAUUAGCUAGAUGGUGGGGUAACGGCUCACCAUGGCAAUGAUACGUAGCNNNNNNGAGAGGGUAAUCGGCCACAUUGGGACUGAGACACGGCCCAAACUCCUACGGGAGGCAGCAGUAGGGAAUCUUCCACAAUGGACGAAAGUCUGAUGGAGCAACGCCGCGUGAGUGAAGAAGGGUUUCGGCUCGUAAAACUCUGUUGUUAAAGAAGAACAUAUCUGAGAGUAACUGUUCAGGUAUUGACGGUAUUUAACCAGAAAGCCACGGCUAACUACGUGCCAGCAGCCGCGGUAAUACGUAGGUGGCAAGCGUUGUCCGGAUUUAUUGGGCGUAAAGCGAGCGCAGGCGGUUUUUUAAGUCUGAUGUGAAAGCCUUCGGCUCAACCGAAGAAGUGCAUCGGAAACUGGGAAACUUGAGUGCAGAAGAGGACAGUGGAACUCCAUGUGUAGCGGUGAAAUGCGUAGAUAUAUGGAAGAACACCAGUGGCGAAGGCGGCUGUCUGGUCUGUAACUGACGCUGAGGCUCGAAAGUAUGGGUAGCAAACAGGAUUAGAUACCCUGGUAGUCCAUACCGUAAACGAUGAAUGCUAAGUGUUGGAGGGUUUCCGCCCUUCAGUGCUGCAGCUAACGCAUUAAGCAUUCCGCCUGGGGAGUACGGCCGCAAGGCUGAAACUCAAAGGAAUUGACGGGGGCCCGCACAAGCGGUGGAGCAUGUGGUUUAAUUCGAAGCUACGCGAAGAACCUUACCAGGUCUUGACAUACUAUGCAAAUCUAAGAGAUUAGACGUUCCCUUCGGGGACAUGGAUACAGGUGGUGCAUGGUUGUCGUCAGCUCGUGUCGUGAGAUGUUGGGUUAAGUCCCGCAACGAGCGCAACCCUUAUUAUCAGUUGCCAGCAUUAAGUUGGGCACUCUGGUGAGACUGCCGGUGACAAACCGGAGGAAGGUGGGGAUGACGUCAAAUCAUCAUGCCCCUUAUGACCUGGGCUACACACGUGCUACAAUGGAUGGUACAACGAGUUGCGAACUCGCGAGAGUAAGCUAAUCUCUUAAAGCCAUUCUCAGUUCGGAUUGUAGGCUGCAACUCGCCUACAUGAAGUCGGAAUCGCUAGUAAUCGCGGAUCAGCAUGCCGCGGUGAAUACGUUCCCGGGCCUUGUACACACCGCCC